Molecule: ribosomal RNA, 497 nt
Filed under: uncultured bacterium
Lineage: Bacteria
Description: partial 16S ribosomal RNA
Rfam family: Bacterial small subunit ribosomal RNA
Source: RNAcentral
GAUGAACGCUGGCGGCGUGCCUAAUACAUGCAAGUCGAGCGAACAGACGAGGAGCUUUCUCCUCUGACGUUAGCGGCGGACGGGUGAGUAACACGUGGAUAACCUACCUAUAAGACUGGGAUAACUUCGGGAAACCGGAGCUAAUACCGGAUCAUAUAUUGAACCGCAUGGUUCAAUAGUGAAAGACGGUUUUGCUGUCACUUAUAGAUGGAUCCGCGCCGCAUUAGCUAGUUGGUAAGGUAACGGCUUACCAAGGCGACGAUGCGUAGCCGACCUGAGAGGGUGAUCGGCCACACUGGAACUGAGACACGGUCCAGACUCCUACGGGAGGCAGCAGUAGGGAAUCUUCCGCAAUGGGCGAAAGCCUGACGGAGCAACGCCGCGUGAGUGAUGAAGGUCUUCGGAUCGUAAAACUCUGUUAUUAGGGAAGAACAAAUGUGUAAGUAACUAUGCACGUCUUGACGGUACCUAAUCAGAAAGCCACGGCUAACUACGUG